GACGAACGCUGGCGGCGUGCUUAACACAUGCAAGUCGAGCGGGUAAGGCCCUUUCGGGGGUACACGAGCGGCGGAACGGGUGAGUAACACGUGGGUGACCUGCCCUCAGCUCUGGGAUAAGCCUGGGAAACCGGGUCUAAUACUGGAUAUGACUCCAUGACGCAUGUUGUGGGGUGGAAAGCCUUGUGCGGCUGAGGAUGGGCCCGCGGCCUAUCAGCUUGUUGGUGGGGUGANGGCCUACCAAGGCGACGACGGGUAGCCGGCCUGAGAGGGCGACCGGCC
This 282-nucleotide ribosomal RNA is filed under the name uncultured bacterium. Its description in RNAcentral is "partial 16S ribosomal RNA". It matches the Rfam family "Bacterial small subunit ribosomal RNA", at positions 28 to 309 of the family's 1533-position model. The record is from RNAcentral.